This 342-nucleotide ribosomal RNA is filed under the name uncultured Mollicutes bacterium. Its description in RNAcentral is "bacterial SSU rRNA". It matches the Rfam family "Bacterial small subunit ribosomal RNA", at positions 1040 to 1382 of the family's 1533-position model. The record is from RNAcentral. Lineage: Bacteria; Bacillati; Mycoplasmatota; Mollicutes.
GGUGCAUGGUUGUCGUCAGCUCGUGCCGUGAGGUUGUUGGGUUAAGUCCCGCAACGAGCGCAACCCUCAUUGUUUAGUUACUACCAUUCAGUUGAGGACUCUAAUGAGACUGCCAACGAGAAGUUGGAGAAGGUGGGGAUGACGUCAAAUCAUCAUGCCCUUUAUGACCUGGGCUACAAACGUACUACAAUGGCCAAUACAAAGAGAUGCGAAGCGGUGACGUGGAGCGAACCUCAGAAAGUUGGUCUCAGUUCAGAUUGAAGUCUGCAACUCGACUUCAUGAAGGCGGAAUCGCUAGUAAUCGCGGGUCAGCAGACCGCGGUGAAUACGUUCCCGGGUUUU